GACGAACGCUGGCGGCGUGCCUAAUACAUGCAAGUCGAACGCAGGGGGGACGGGUGAGUAACACGUGGGGAACCUCCCAUCAGAGGGGAUAACACUUGGACACAGGUGCUAAACCGAUACUGAAGGGUGGCCCCGCGGUGCAUUAGCUAGUUGGUGAGGUAACGGCUCACCAAGGCCACGAUGCAUAGCUGACCUGAUAGGGUGAUCGGCCACACUGGGACUGAGACACGGCCCAGACUCCUACGGGAGGCAGCAGUGGGGAAUCUUCGGCAAUGGACGAAAGUCUGACCGAGCAACGCCGCGUGAGUGAAGAAGGUUUUCGGAGCGUAAAACUCUGUUGUUAGAGAAGCGGUAUCUAACCAGAAAGCCACGGCUAACUACGUGCCAGCAGCCGCGGUAAUAC
Molecule: ribosomal RNA, 403 nt
Filed under: uncultured bacterium
Lineage: Bacteria
Description: partial 16S ribosomal RNA
Rfam family: Bacterial small subunit ribosomal RNA
Source: RNAcentral